UUGUUAAAAUAAUAUUUUUCUUAAUCUCAAGAACACUAUUUUAUCGAGAUUUUACUGUUGAUCUAAUUCAGCAUUGCUUGCUUGCUUAUUUUAGAUGCCUGAAUCUGGAGAAAUUCUAGAAUACAUCUGUUGUACCAUGUCAUCCAUACAACAAAUAAAUAAUAUCAUAACAUGUGUGCAUUUAUUUUGUAAACUAUCAUACAAGUGGUGGUUGUAUUAAACUCAAUUACACAUGUCAUGCAUGUAUUAAUUGGUUGUAUACAACAAAUAUAUUCUAGAAUUUCUCCUGAAUCUGAUGUUUUCAAGAGUUUUAUGACUC
Molecule: long non-coding RNA, 319 nt
Filed under: Citrus x clementina
Lineage: Eukaryota; Viridiplantae; Streptophyta; Magnoliopsida; Sapindales; Rutaceae
Description: Citrus clementina (C. clementina) long non-coding RNA (CCLE_LNC000455)
Source: RNAcentral